UGCUGCCCAAUACAGCUUCGGAAGGCGGCGCCGGCUUUGUCCGCUCAGUGCAGAGCUGGGGUAUAGGGAGAAUAGUAGCGGAUGAGAGAGGAUCCAAAACCGAGUAGAGCAGGGUCCGUUUGUGCGAGAAAAACGGCAAAGAUUACGGAGGGAAGAACUCGAGGGUAUUAAGCACUUCUCUGUCCUUCGCCAGCCCGAGGUUCUUUUGCCUCCAUCUUGCUCCGUUCAGGUUUUGGAGUACAGUAGAGUGGUUUCUUGUGUCUCCCGGUUGAUUCCAGAAUCCUCCCUGCUUCGGCCCCCUACAGAGAGACCAUGCCGAGACCCCGGAAGAGGCUGGCUGGCGCUGCUGGCCCAGAUAAAAAGGGGCCAUCAGGAAAACAUUCCAAAACUGAGAACUCUGAUGAGGCAUCGGCUGAAGUGGUGAACUCCAGGUCUCAGAAGACUUCAGCCUCCAAAAACUGUGGGAAGAAUUUAAGCAACUACUGGCUGAUGAAGUCAGAGCCAGAGAGCCGACUAGAGAAAGGUGUAGAUGUGAAGUUCAGCAUUGAGGAUCUCAAAGCACAGCCCAAGCAGACAGCAUGCUGGGAUGGGGUUCGCAACUACCAGGCUCGGAACUUCCUUAGAGCCAUGAAGUUGGAGGAAGAAGCCUUCUUCUACCAUAGCAACUGCAAAGAGCCAGGCAUCGUGGGACUUAUGAAGAUUGUAAAGGAGGCUUACCCAGACCAUACACAGUUUGAGAAAGAAAAUCCCCAUUAUGACCCAUCCAGCAAAGAAGACAACCCCAAAUGGUCCAUGGUGGAUGUACAGUUUGUUCGGAUGAUGAAGCGUUUCAUCUCCCUCACUGAACUCAAAACCUACUACCAGGCUCACAAAGCUACUGGUGGUCCCUUAAAAAACAUGGCUCUUUUCACUCGCCAGAGACUGUCAGUUCAGCCCUUGACCCAAGAAGAGUUUGACUUUAUUUUGAGCCUGGAGGAAAAGGAACUAAGUUAACUGAGGCACUGUUGCUGGAAUGGAUAAGCCAUUACUCCAAAAAAGUCAAGCCUUUAUAACACAAAAGAAAGUGUGAGAAAACUUGCUUGUUUUGUUCACCUGGGAUCAUGUACAAAGGCUGGCUCCUUCUGCCACUGGAAGAUGCAGGGUACCUUUCCUGCCAUCAGCCUCUGCCAUCGCUGAUACUUACAUAGCAAGUAGAAGAAUUCAAGGCUGAAUCCCUUGUGUUAACACCCACUAAAACCAACUUUUGGUCUUUCUACACCUGCCUUCCUCAGUGGCCCCUUAAGUCCUCUGGGUCCCAAAGGUUUAAACCAUGAUUGGUUUCAGGAUAGAUUGUCAGAUGGGGAAAAUCUGACAAUCACUGAAAAGUGAAUUCACUUUUCAGCCAUCCACUUGUCUAAAACGGCUGGUUAAUAAAGUGCUCAUCAUUGUUCAAUA
Castor canadensis (American beaver) is the source of this 1434-nucleotide RNA transcript. It is a transcript of the gene named thymocyte nuclear protein 1, with no coding region annotated. NCBI's taxonomy places the organism in Eukaryota, Metazoa, Chordata, Mammalia, Rodentia, Castoridae. The record is from RefSeq and is a predicted model, not a curated record.